Molecule: long non-coding RNA, 736 nt
Filed under: Mustela putorius furo (domestic ferret)
Lineage: Eukaryota; Metazoa; Chordata; Mammalia; Carnivora; Mustelidae
Description: lncRNA (ENSMPUG00000028668.1)
Source: RNAcentral
AUGCCGUCUUGCAGACCAGCAAGGAGGAGGGUCAGGUUUAUAGUCGACCAAGCACAUUCACAGGGCUCCUCUAACGAACACCGGGCACUUCUGGGAAGGGAAAGGAGCGAUCACGGAAAAGGGAAGCAGGCGGUUUCGUUCCACCCUGAGCUGACCGGGCGUUCCCGGGUGCUCGGCUUCCCUGAAGCAGGCGGCGUCCGCCCUGGGCGGGCCGGGCUUUCCCGGCUGCCCAACUUCACGGUCGUACGUCGUCCUUCUCCCAAAGACCUGCUGCCAGUUCCUCAGAAGCACGCGAAAAUCCCUCCAACGACUGAAAAAUCAAGAAGCUGCAAAAUCAACUUUUCUACUUCUUCACAAACAAAAGGGGGGAGAUGCUGCUGCCCCUCGGAACAACUUGUUACUUAAACUGUAACCCUUGGAAGAUUUUACUAGUUACCAAGCACAUUUAGAUAUGGCCUUAAGAAAUACAUACACUGGCAACAGGUCUUUGGGGAGAAGGACGAUGUACGACCGUGAAGCUGGGCAGAUGGGGAUGCCCAGCUUGCUCAGGGCAGAACGCUGUUUCUUCACAGAAGCUGGGCAGCUGGGGAUACCUGGCUCACUCAGGGCGGAACGCCGCCCCUUCACAGAAGCCAGGCAGCCGGGAACACCCGGCCCGCCCAGGGCGGAACCCCCCCUGCUUCAGGGAAGCCGAGCACCCGGGAACGCCCGGUCAGCUCAGGGUGGAACGAAACGG